Molecule: ribosomal RNA, 254 nt
Filed under: uncultured bacterium
Lineage: Bacteria
Description: partial 16S ribosomal RNA
Rfam family: Bacterial small subunit ribosomal RNA
Source: RNAcentral
CUUUCUUUGCUGGCGACCGGCGCACGGGUGAGUAACACGUAUCCAACCUGCCCUUUACUCGGGGAUAGCCUUUCGAAAGAAAGAUUAAUACCCGAUAGCAUAAUGAUUCCGCAUGGUUUCAUUAUUAAAGGAUUCCGGUAAAGGAUGGGGAUGCGUUCCAUUAGGUUGUUGGUGAGGUAACGGCUCACCAAGCCUUCGAUGGAUAGGGGUUCUGAGAGGAAGGUCCCCCGCAUUGGAACUGAGACACGGUCCAA